RNAcentral lists this ribosomal RNA (497 nucleotides) under uncultured bacterium. RNAcentral's name for it is "partial 16S ribosomal RNA". The stretch from base 51 to 497 matches the Rfam family "Bacterial small subunit ribosomal RNA", at positions 39 to 507 of the family's 1533-position model. The record is from RNAcentral.
GGGGGGGGGGGGGGGGGGGGGGGGGGGAUGGAAGGGGAGCGAGGGGGGGAGGGGCGUGGUCCUCGGACGUGGGCGGCGGAGGGGUGAGUGACACGGGGAGGACCGAGCGAUAAGACUGGGGGGACGUCGGGAAACCGGAGCUAAUAGCGGAUACGAUAUUGAAGCGCAGGGGGCACUAGGGAGAGCCGGUGUUGCGGGCACUUGUAUAGGGAGCCUCGCCGCAUUAGCGAGUUGGUAAGGUAACGGCUUACCAAGGCAACGAUGCGUAGCCGACCUGAGAGGGUGAGCGGCCACACUGGAUCUGAGCAACGGUCCAGACUCCUACGGGAGGCAGCAGUAGGGAAUCUUCCGCAAUGGGCGAAAGCCUGACGGAGCAACGCCGCGUGAGUGAUGAAGGUCUUCGGAUCGUAAAACUCUGUUAUUAGGGAAGAACAAAUGUGUAAGUAACUAUGCACGUCUUGACGGUACCUAAUCAGAAAGCCACGGCUAACUACGUG